GUAGGUGGCAAGCGUUGUCCGGAAUUAUUGGGCGUAAAGCGCGCGCAGGCGGUUCUUUAAGUCUGAUGUGAAAGCCCACGGCUCAACCGUGGAGGGUCAUUGGAAACUGGAGAACUUGAGUACAGAAGAGGAAAGCGGAAUUCCACGUGUAGCGGUGAAAUGCGUAGAGAUGUGGAGGAACACCAGUGGCGAAGGCGGCCUUCUGGUCUGUAACUGACGCUGAGGCGCGAAAGCGUGGGGAGCAAACAGGGAUUAGAUACCCUGGUAGUCCACGCCGUAAACGAUGAGUGCUAAGUGUUAGGGGGUUUCCGCCCCCUUAGUGCUGCAGCUAACGCAUUAAGCACUCCGCCUGGGGAGUACGGCCGCAAGGCUG
RNAcentral lists this ribosomal RNA (373 nucleotides) under uncultured organism. Its description in RNAcentral is "partial 16S ribosomal RNA". It matches the Rfam family "Bacterial small subunit ribosomal RNA", at positions 527 to 896 of the family's 1533-position model. The record is from RNAcentral.